This 463-nucleotide ribosomal RNA is filed under the name uncultured bacterium. RNAcentral describes it as "bacterial SSU rRNA". It matches the Rfam family "Bacterial small subunit ribosomal RNA", at positions 343 to 797 of the family's 1533-position model. The record is from RNAcentral.
GGGAGGCAGCAGUGGGGAAUAUUGGGCAAUGGCCGCAAGGCUGACCCAGCGACGCCGCGUGUGGGAGGACGCCCUUCGGGGUGGAAACCACUGUCAGGGGGGACGAACGACGGCGGGGUGAACAGCCUCGUCGGGUGACGGUACCUCCAGAGGAAGCGCCGGCUAACUCUGUGCCAGCAGCCGCGGUAAGACAGAGGGCGCGAGCGUUGUUCGGAAUCAUUGGGCGUAAAGCGCGCGCAGGCGGGUGCGCAAGUCGGGAGUGAAAUUCCGGGGCUCAACCCCGGCGCGGCUUCCGAAACUGCGUGUCUAGGGACCGGUAGGGGCCGGUGGAAUUCCCGGUGUAGCGGUGGAAUGCGUAGAGAUCGGGAAGAACACCUGUGGCGAAGGCGGCCGGCUGGGCCGGAUCCGACGCUGAGGCGCGAAAGCGUGGGGAGCAAACAGGAUUAGAAACCCUAGUAGUCCG